This is a long non-coding RNA of Ipomoea nil (Japanese morning glory), 153 nucleotides long. RefSeq lists it as uncharacterized. NCBI's taxonomy places the organism in Eukaryota, Viridiplantae, Streptophyta, Magnoliopsida, Solanales, Convolvulaceae. The transcript has 3 exons. The record is from RefSeq and is a predicted model, not a curated record.
GUGAACUCCAGAACACUCCCUAGCUCGCGAACACCAUCGUAAAACUCCAUAGCCGUCAUCACCGUGCGCCGUCGCCGUGCCGCCGUGGUCAUCACCAAAACUCCAUAGACGUCGCCUCCUCCUCCAUUUCUGACCGGUUUCUGUUCCUUCUAC